AUACGGAGCGACCAGCACUAAUGCAGGAAGCUGCGUGCUUGGGCGAGAGUAGUACUAGGAUGGGUGACCUCCCGGGAAGUCCUCGUGUUGCAUCCC
Molecule: non-coding RNA, 96 nt
Organism: Arabidopsis thaliana x Arabidopsis arenosa
Lineage: Eukaryota; Viridiplantae; Streptophyta; Magnoliopsida; Brassicales; Brassicaceae
Source: the annotation of a GenBank genome assembly